UGUUGAUCACAUUGUAUUUUAGUUACCAGUUUGUCAGUCUCCCAGUAGAUUGGGGUUCCUUGAGAGCAGAGACCGUGUUCACUUUGCCUUGAAGUAAGUUCCAAAUUAUUUGCUAAAUGAGCAAUG
Molecule: long non-coding RNA, 126 nt
Organism: Phyllostomus discolor (pale spear-nosed bat)
Lineage: Eukaryota; Metazoa; Chordata; Mammalia; Chiroptera; Phyllostomidae
Exons: 3
Source: RefSeq, a predicted model, not a curated record